RNAcentral lists this transfer RNA (78 nucleotides) under Weizmannia acidilactici. RNAcentral describes it as "tRNA-Pro". It matches the Rfam family "tRNA". Rfam says of the family: Transfer RNA (tRNA) molecules are approximately 80 nucleotides in length. Lineage: Bacteria; Bacillati; Bacillota; Bacilli; Caryophanales; Bacillaceae. The record is from RNAcentral.
UCGGGAAGUAGCUCAGCUUGGUAGAGCACUACGUUCGGGACGUAGGGGUCGCAGGUUCAAAUCCUGUCUUCCCGAUCC